This 497-nucleotide ribosomal RNA is filed under the name uncultured bacterium. RNAcentral's name for it is "partial 16S ribosomal RNA". It matches the Rfam family "Bacterial small subunit ribosomal RNA", at positions 28 to 507 of the family's 1533-position model. The record is from RNAcentral.
GAUGAACGCUGGCGGCGUGCCUAAUACAUGCAAGUCGAGCGAACAGACGAGGAGCUUGCUCCUCUGACGUUAGCGGCGGACGGGUGAGUAACACAUGGAUAACCUACCUAUAAGACUGGGAUAACUUCGGGAAACCGGAGCUAAUACCGGAUAAUAUAUUGAACCGCAUGGUUCAAUAGUGAAAGACGGUUUUGCUGUCACUUAUAGAUGGAUCCGCGCCGCAUUAGCUAGUUGGUAAGGUAACGGCUUACCAAGGCGACGAUGCGUAGCCGACCUGAGAGGGUGAUCAGCCACACUGGAACUGAGACACGGUCCAGACUCCUACGGGAGGCAGCAGUAGGGAAUCUUCCGCAAUGGGCGAAAGCCUGACGGAGCAACGCCGCGUGAGUGAUGAAGGUCUUCGGAUCGUAAAACUCUGUUAUUAGGGAAGAACAAAUGUGUAAGUAACUAUGCACGUCUUGACGGUACCUAAUCAGAAAGCCACGGCUAACUACGUG